CGGAGGAUCCAAGCGUUAUCCGGAAUCAUUGGGUUUAAAGGGUCCGUAGGCGGUUUGAUAAGUCAGUGGUGAAAGCCCAUCGCUCAACGAUGGAACGGCCAUUGAUACUGUCAGACUUGAAUUACUGGGAAGUAACUAGAAUAUGUAGUGUAGCGGUGAAAUGCUUAGAUAUUACAUGGAAUACCAAUUGCGAAGGCAGGUUACUACCAGUGGAUUGACGCUGAUGGACGAAAGCGUGGGGAGCGAACAGGAUUAGAUACCCUGGUAGUCCACGCCGCAAACGAUGGAUACUAGCUGUUCGGAGCAAUCUGAGUGGCUAAGCGAAAGUGAUAAGUAUCCCACCUGGGGAGUACGUUCGCAAGAAUG
Molecule: ribosomal RNA, 366 nt
Filed under: uncultured organism
Description: bacterial SSU rRNA
Rfam family: Bacterial small subunit ribosomal RNA
Source: RNAcentral